This 767-nucleotide long non-coding RNA is filed under the name Gossypium barbadense (sea-island cotton). RNAcentral's name for it is "long non-coding RNA (GBAR_LNC010201)". Lineage: Eukaryota; Viridiplantae; Streptophyta; Magnoliopsida; Malvales; Malvaceae. The record is from RNAcentral.
AAAAAAACCAAAAUAAAUAAAAUAAAAUAAGGUCCAAAGUCCAACAUUACAAAAAGCCCAGCUUUUAGCCUAAUACCAAAUUUACAUUUAACCCACAUACAAUUGAAGCCCAAAUUUUAAACUCAUUUUACAAUAAGGCCCAAUCUUAAAACAGCCCAAAUGGCCCGGGCAAAUUGAAACUUCUGGAACCUUAGGGUUCCCUUGCGCCGCAGCCUUCACAAGCGGCCUCUCCACAUCGCACGUGCUCCUCCGUUCCUCCGUACACCCCACGAACGGCCUCACCAUGUCAGCAGCACCACAACCUUCAUACCCACAACGGACUAACAACUCACAACAGAUUGACAGCAAAUAGAUCUAAGGGAAAAUUUUUUGUAUUUAUUAUUAUUAUUCUUUUUAUUCGACUAUAAAGGCCAGUGAAAUCGAAUGUAAAGAGGAUCUUUUCCACAAAAAAAAUACAAUACAGAUACAGAAAAACAGAGAGUAGGAUUUGACUUUUUCAAAUACAAUGAGAUUUUCCAUUUUUCUUCUCUUUAAGAGGUGAUUGGUGAUUCUGAUUUUCCUUUUUAAGUUUUUUACAACAAAAGAAAAAAAGCAAAAAGAGUGAAAAGAUCGAAAGUACCUUUUCCAGCCAUCGUUAUUCACGAUCGAAAUGGAUUAGUGGCGCAUUUGAGCCCUAGCAGAGGAGAAAGGGAAAAAACCCUUCUGCUCCUUUCGAUUUUGAGGCAAAUGCCUUUGACAGGAAGGUUUCUUUGUUUCUUAUGCAUAAA